RNAcentral lists this ribosomal RNA (465 nucleotides) under uncultured bacterium. Its description in RNAcentral is "bacterial SSU rRNA". It matches the Rfam family "Bacterial small subunit ribosomal RNA", at positions 917 to 1382 of the family's 1533-position model. The record is from RNAcentral.
GGGCCCGCACAAGCAGCGGAGCAUGUGGUUUAAUUCGAAGCAACGCGAAGAACCUUACCAGGUCUUGACAUCGAUCUAAACCUGUAGAGAUACGGGGUGCCUUCGGGCAAGAGAAGACAGGUGGUGCAUGGUUGUCGUCAGCUCGUGUCGUGAGAUGUUGGGUUAAGUCCCGCAACGAGCGCAACCCUUAUUGUCAGUUACUAACGGGUAGAGCCGAGGACUCUGACGAGACUGCCGGGGACAACUCGGAGGAAGGUGGGGACGACGUCAAAUCAUCAUGCCCCUUAUGACCUGGGCUACACACGUGCUACAAUGGUGGCAACAAAGAGGAGCGAGCCCGUAAGGGGAAGCGGAUCUCAAAAAAGCCAUCUCAGUUCGGAUUGUGGGCUGCAACCCGCCCACAUGAAGUCGGAGUUGCUAGUAAUCGCGAAUCAGCAUGUCGCGGUGAAUACGUUCCCGGGCCUU